CAGCAGCCGCGGUAAUACGUAGGGUGCGAGCGUUAAUCGGAAUUACUGGGCGUAAAGCGUGCGCAGGCGGUUCGUUAAGACAGAUGUGAAAUCCCCGGGCUUAACCUGGGAACUGCAUUUGUGACUGACGGGCUAGAGUAUGGCAGAGGGGGGUAGAAUUCCACGUGUAGCAGUGAAAUGCGUAGAGAUGUGGAGGAAUACCGAUGGCGAAGGCAGCCCCCUGGGCCAAUACUGACGCUCAUGCACGAAAGCGUGGGGAGCAAACAGGAUUAGAUACCCCCGUAGUCCUGUCUCUUAUACA
Molecule: ribosomal RNA, 301 nt
Filed under: uncultured bacterium
Lineage: Bacteria
Description: partial 16S ribosomal RNA
Rfam family: Bacterial small subunit ribosomal RNA
Source: RNAcentral